GGUCCUUAAAGAUCACAGAACCAUGGAACUCUAAAACAGGUGGGUUGGAAAGGUCCUUAAAGGUCAUGGAACCAUGGAAUCCUGCUACAGUUGGGUUAGAAAGGUCCUUACAGAUUACAGAACUGUUGAACCCUACCCUGGCUGGGUUGGAAAGAUCCUUGAAGGUCACAGAACCACAGAACCCUACACUGGUUGGGUUGGGAGGGUCCUUGAAGGUCACAGAACCAUGGAACCCUACCCUGGCUGGGUUGGAAAGGUCCUUGAAGGUCACAGAAUCCCAGAACCCUACCCUGGCUGGAUUGAAAAGGUCCUUGAAGGUCACAGAACCACAGAACCCUACACUGGUUGGGUUGGGAGGGUCCUUGAAGGUCACAGAAGCACAGAACCCUACCCUGGCUGGCUUGGAAAGGUCCUUGAAGCUCACAGAACCACAGAACUGUACCCUGGCUAGGUUGGAAAAGUCCUUGAAGGUCACAGAACCGUAGAACCCUGCACUAGUUGGGUUGGGAGGGUCCUUGAAGGUCACAGAACCACGGAGCCCUACACUGGUUGGGUUGGGAGGGUCCUUGAAGGUCACAGAAGCACGGAACCCUACCCUGGCUGGGUUGGAAAGGUCCUUGAAGGUCACAGAAGCACGGAACCCUACCCUGGCUGGGUUGGAAAGGUCCUUGAAGGUCACAAAACCACGGCGCCCUACGCCCCGCUCACCUUCUCCACAUCCACCAGCUCGCUCUCGUAGAUCUCGGCGAUGGAGAUGUGGUGCUUGGCAGCGAUGGUGAAGCGGCCCUGGGGGGCAGAGGGCCGCGCUCAGCGCCCCAUAGCGCAGUGGGGCAGGGGCGCCGUGCCCCCCAAGCUGGGGAGGAGCCCCCUCACCAUGUCCGUGUAGAUCUCGAUGGCUCGGAUCAGGCAAUUAAUGGCCUCUGCAACGAGACAAACGAGCUUCGCCGGGUCGGCCGUGGGGCAGAGGGCGGGAUGUGGGGCACAGGGCGGGAUGUGGGGCACAGGGCGGGAUGUGGGGCAGCCCAGCACAACCAAGCACCCAUAGAAGCCCUAUAAAGAGGGAACGUCUCCGCCCCAACCCCGCUGCCCCCCCGCUAUGGGGCGCAGGAAGGCCGGCCGCGUUGCUGUGGGGCAGGGAUGGGAAGGGAGGGCGCGGGGACGCGGCUCGGACAGAGAUUAUGCAAAUCCUCCGCUUGGGAUUAACGAGGUUUCCUCCUUCGUUAUCCCCUCCGCAAACGACCCCAAUUGACCCGGGGGGAACCACGGGGCCGGCGCUCGCAACGGCCUCUCCCCGAACCGCCCCGAAUCCCGCUCCGUGUCCCCCCCAAUCCCCACCCCCGGCCCCACGGCGCCCCAUAGCGCCCCAUAGCGCCCCACACGCUCACCUUGGGGGUCCGCUUUCUUGAAGGCGUUGCCGGCGUCCACGAAGUUGGUGGCGGCGUCGUGCUUGCUCUGCAGCUGCAGGUGGAGCUGCGCCGCCUGGCA
Molecule: long non-coding RNA, 1485 nt
Filed under: Numida meleagris (helmeted guineafowl)
Lineage: Eukaryota; Metazoa; Chordata; Aves; Galliformes; Numididae
Description: lncRNA (ENSNMEG00000002720.1)
Source: RNAcentral